Molecule: ribosomal RNA, 488 nt
Filed under: uncultured bacterium
Lineage: Bacteria
Description: bacterial SSU rRNA
Rfam family: Bacterial small subunit ribosomal RNA
Source: RNAcentral
GGCUCAGAUUGAACGCUGGCGGCAUGCCUUACACAUGCAAGUCGAACGGCAGCACGGGGCAACCUGGUGGCGAGUGGCGAACGGGUGAGUAAUGCAUCGGAACGUGCCAUUGAGUGGGGAUAACGUAGCGAAAGUUGCGCUAAUACCGCAUAUUCUGUGAGCAGGAAAGCAGGGGACCGCAAGGCCUUGCGCUCUUUAAGCGGCCGAUGUCAGAUUAGCUAGUUGGUGAGGUAACGGCUUACCAAGGCGACGAUCUGUAGCGGGUCUGAGAGGAUGAUCCGCCACACUGGAACUGAGACACGGUCCAGACUCCUACGGGAGGCAGCAGUGGGGAAUUUUGGACAAUGGGCGCAAGCCUGAUCCAGCCAUGCCGCGUGAGUGAAGAAGGCCUUCGGGUUGUAAAGCUCUUUCGGCCGGGAAGAAAUCGCAUGGGUUAAUACCCUGUGUGGAUGACGGUACCGGAAUAAGAAGCACCGGCUAACUACGUG